UACGAAGGGUGCAAGCGUUAGUCGGAAUUACUGGGCGUAAAGCGUGCGUAGGCGGUUUCUUAAGUCUGCCGUGAAAGCCCCGGGCUCAACCUGGGAAUGGCGGUGGAUACUGGGAAGCUGGAGUGCGGUAGAGGAGGGUGGAAUUCCCGGUGUACCGGUGAAAUGGGUAGAUAUCAGGAGGAACACCCGUGGCGAAGGCGGCUCACUGGGCAUCACCUGACGCUGAGGCGCGAAAGUGUGGGUAGCAAACAGG
This 253-nucleotide ribosomal RNA is filed under the name uncultured bacterium. Its description in RNAcentral is "partial 16S ribosomal RNA". It matches the Rfam family "Bacterial small subunit ribosomal RNA", at positions 524 to 776 of the family's 1533-position model. The record is from RNAcentral.